This 499-nucleotide ribosomal RNA is filed under the name uncultured bacterium. RNAcentral's name for it is "partial 16S ribosomal RNA". It matches the Rfam family "Bacterial small subunit ribosomal RNA", at positions 30 to 523 of the family's 1533-position model. The record is from RNAcentral.
AUUGAACGCUGGCGGCAUGCCUUACACAUGCAAGUCGAACGGUAACAGGUCUUCGGAUGCUGACGAGUGGCGAACGGGUGAGUAAUACAUCGGAACGUGCCUAGUAGUGGGGGAUAACUACUCGAAAGAGUGGCUAAUACCGCAUGCGAUCUACGGAUGAAAGCAGGGGAUCGCAUGACCUUGUGCUACUAGAGCGGCCGAUGGCAGAUUAGGUAGGUGGUGGGAUAAAAGCUUACCAAGCCGACGAUCUGUAGCUGGUCAUGAGAGGACUAUCAGCCACACUGGGACUGAGAAACGGCCCAGACUCCUACGGGAGGCAGCAGUGGGGAAUUUUGGACAAUGGGCGCAAGCCUGAUCCAGCAAUGCCGCGUGCAGGAUGAAGGCCUUCGGGUUGUAAACUGCUUUUGUACGGAACGAAAAGCCCCGGGUUAAUACCCUGGGGUCAUGACGGUACCGUAAGAAUAAGCACCGGCUAACUACGUGCCAGCCGCCGCGGUAA